GGUGGGCCAGGAAGGCAACCAGCCAGAGAUCAAGAUUGCACCUGUCCCAAGACUGGAAGACUGGGUAUAAAAACAGAACAGUGGACACAACUCCAAGAGAAGGUUUUGACCAAAUGUCUUGAAUCAUAGAAGAUUUGACUGUAAACCUACUCCACAGUUUCUAUUCGGUGGAUGAUUUUGCUGAACUGAGCUAAGAUAGAAUUGGAUAUUGAAGAGCUAAAGUGUGUUGACUUUUAAAAAUUUUUUAUAAGCUCAACUUUGAUUUUAGAUUCAGGGGAUACAUGUGCAGGUUUGUUACAUGGCUGUAUUGCGUGAUGCUGAGGUUUGGCGUGUGAAGGAUCCUAUCAUCCAGAAUCCUCCAAACAACCUCAAUGAUCAGCCAAGUGGAGCUGGGGAAGUGGAGCUCUGCACCCAAGCUGAGCUCCAAGUGCCAAGAGCAAAUAGAAGAGCUGGGAAAAGAAGCAACUUGUCAGCUGUAUUUCUGCGAUGGAGUCUCACUCUGUCGCCCAGGCUGGAGUACAGUGGUGUGAUCUCGGCUCACUGCGAUUCUCCUGCCUCAGCUGGGACUAUAGGUGUGCACCAUCACGCUUAGAACUCUCGGUUCUCUGGCCUUCAGACUCCAGGACUUGCAGCAGUCACUCCCUGCCCCUCGCAGGUUCUCAGGGCUUUGGCCUUGGCCUGAGAGUUACCCCGUUGGCUUUCCUGGGACCCGACCUUGCAGGACACACAUUGCGGGACUUCUCAACCUCCACAGUCACCUUCCAACGCAUGCUUCCUUCCACCACAGGACUCCUGCCAGUGCAGCCUGGAGCCCAAGCUCACCGUUCCCUCCUGUGGGACGCGUCACAUUCGAGACAUGGGUGGUAUUUCUCGUGCCACCCUGGUGCCUGGGCUGUACUUCUGCAAAGCUGCCUGUUAAUUGCCUGCUCUCAGGGGCCAAGGGCUUCAGAAAUGGGUUUCUUCCCUGUUGAUGCUUGUUCUCCAGUUCCCUGCACCAAUCCAAAUAGUAGAAAAAACAUAUGCCUGUUUCAUCAAGAAAAUACUGCUCCUGUGUUUUGGCAUUUAUGGCUGAGUUUUAAGAUGUAA
This 1086-nucleotide long non-coding RNA is filed under the name Papio anubis (olive baboon). RNAcentral's name for it is "lncRNA (ENSPANG00000042108.1)". The record is from RNAcentral. Lineage: Eukaryota; Metazoa; Chordata; Mammalia; Primates; Cercopithecidae.